Molecule: transfer RNA, 73 nt
Filed under: Dipodomys ordii (Ord's kangaroo rat)
Lineage: Eukaryota; Metazoa; Chordata; Mammalia; Rodentia; Heteromyidae
Rfam family: tRNA
About the family: Transfer RNA (tRNA) molecules are approximately 80 nucleotides in length. Their secondary structure includes four short double-helical elements and three loops (D, anti-codon, and T loops). Further hydrogen bonds mediate the characteristic L-shaped molecular structure. tRNAs have two regions of fundamental functional importance: the anti-codon, which is responsible for specific mRNA codon recognition, and the 3' end, to which the tRNAs corresponding amino acid is attached (by aminoacyl-tRNA synthetases). tRNAs cope with the degeneracy of the genetic code in two manners: having more than one tRNA (with a specific anti-codon) for a particular amino acid; and 'wobble' base-pairing, i.e. permitting non-standard base-pairing at the 3rd anti-codon position.
Source: Rfam by way of RNAcentral
UGAGGGGUGGCUCAAGUGGUAGAGCACUUGCUUGGCAAGUUUAAGGCCCUGAGUUCAAACCUCAGUGCUACAA